RNAcentral lists this long non-coding RNA (1275 nucleotides) under Capsicum annuum. RNAcentral's name for it is "long non-coding RNA (CANN_LNC002549)". The record is from RNAcentral. Lineage: Eukaryota; Viridiplantae; Streptophyta; Magnoliopsida; Solanales; Solanaceae.
AUUGAAGUGAAGACAUCUAAAGAUUGAGUUAGAGAAGAGUCCUAAUCACUUUCACAUUCGACAAACAAAUUCCGAUCUCGUUAGAAGUGUGUUGUAGCAAAUAAAGUCCCCCAUCCUUUUGUUGAAUCCUGUUUUGUUCAUAUAGAUAUAGAUGAGGAGAUGGGCAAAGCUUCAGUGAUUAUCUACAUCACAAUUGCUGUGCUCCUUCUACUCCUCAUCUCUCAGUCUCCUUCUAACAAAGCUAAGCGUCAUGGUCAUCGGCGACUCAAGCUGCGAUCCAACUUCACUUUUGACUCACAUCGUACCCACCAUGAACGCAUUCCCUUUGACCCUUUAGUUGCUAAAAUCGAGCGCCAACGUGAGGAUAAAGAAUGGGAGAAGCAGUACAUUGACACACACCAUCCCGAAUUAAUACAUGAACAUGCUCCUGGUGAAGAAUCCCAACCUGAAUGGGAAGACUUUAUGGAUGCUGAAGAUUAUAUCAAUGAUGAAGACAAGUUCAAUGUUACUGAGAGGCUUGUAUUAUUGUUCCCAAAGAUUGAUGUCGACCCAUCUGAUGGUUUCGUGACUGAGCAGGAGUUGACUGAGUGGAAUCUAUAUUUUAAAACUUACUUUUUUCAAAUUAUUAUUUCUGUUUUUUUUUUUUUUUUUUGGAAGAUUGAAGUGAAGACAUCUAAAGAUUGAGUUAGAGAAGAGUCCUAAUCACUUUCACAUUCGACAAACAAAUUCCGAUCUCGUUAGAAGUGUGUUGUAGCAAAUAAAGUCCCCCAUCCUUUUGUUGAAUCCUGUUUUGUUCAUAUAGAUAUAGAUGAGGAGAUGGGCAAAGCUUCAGUGAUUAUCUACAUCACAAUUGCUGUGCUCCUUCUACUCCUCAUCUCUCAGUCUCCUUCUAACAAAGCUAAGCGUCAUGGUCAUCGGCGACUCAAGCUGCGAUCCAACUUCACUUUUGACUCACAUCGUACCCACCAUGAACGCAUUCCCUUUGACCCUUUAGUUGCUAAAAUCGAGCGCCAACGUGAGGAUAAAGAAUGGGAGAAGCAGUACAUUGACACACACCAUCCCGAAUUAAUACAUGAACAUGCUCCUGGUGAAGAAUCCCAACCUGAAUGGGAAGACUUUAUGGAUGCUGAAGAUUAUAUCAAUGAUGAAGACAAGUUCAAUGUUACUGAGAGGCUUGUAUUAUUGUUCCCAAAGAUUGAUGUCGACCCAUCUGAUGGUUUCGUGACUGAGCAGGAGUUGACUGAGUGGAAUCUGGGGCAGAGCAGAAAGGAGGUC